GGGGGUGUAGCUCAUCCGGUAGAGCGCGCGCAGCGAAUUAUCAUUACACCUAAAACUCUCUCUCCUAGCGUUGCUUUUCCAUCAGCGUUGUCGAGAGGUACUGGGUUCGAGUCCCAGCACCCCCA
Molecule: non-coding RNA, 125 nt
Organism: Schizothecium vesticola
Lineage: Eukaryota; Fungi; Ascomycota; Sordariomycetes; Sordariales; Schizotheciaceae
Source: the annotation of a GenBank genome assembly